Long non-coding RNA from Micropterus dolomieu (smallmouth bass), 696 nucleotides. RefSeq lists it as uncharacterized. The transcript is spliced from 3 exons. The record is from RefSeq and is a predicted model, not a curated record. NCBI's taxonomy places the organism in Eukaryota, Metazoa, Chordata, Actinopteri, Centrarchiformes, Centrarchidae.
CGGCAGCUGCCAUGUGCUCGCUUGUCCUGAUUGGCUGGAAGCCGACGAACGGUAUCUGCAUCGACAAUACGAGACCCACAAUGUAGAAAGUGCUGUAAGCUGAGAACAGACAAAAGAGAAACAGGGAGAGAGGGAGCAGACCAGAUAAGAAGUCAAACAAUCAAAACAAUCUAUUGCUGCUACUAAGAACCUUCUGUUCAACCGCUCCAGUCUGGGUCCCACUCAGGGAAAUCAACCUCAAUAGAGUCAUGGAGAGACAACUGGGCUCUGAAAAGAGGGGCUACAAGAUGUGAAGAGGAGGGAAGGUGCAAGUUUGCUGGAUUAUGCUCUGGCUGCACAUAUCCUUGAGGAACAACGAAGGCGGGCGGACAUUUUCCACUUCACCUAACAGCACUGCAUUGUUGAAGAACCAUUUGGAGAUCGAGCAGACGUAGGUCAAAUCUUUCUCACUAUUAGGAGGCCAUAAUUUAUUUUCAAAGCUCUCAAAGACUAUGCUUUGCGGUUCCAACAAGUACUACAUAUAAUCAUGCGUAGAGGGUACUUGACAUUGGUAUAAUUUUUCUUGACCACAACAAAAGUGUCUGCUGUCGUCAGCUCAUAGCUAAGCUGACGACGGAUGUGUGGAGUUCUCUGAGUCGCCGGAUAAUGUGCUGCCACGUGCUCCGUGAACCUGGGAUGUUCUGUGGAAUAACAAGC